AGCCUUGCGGUAUUUUACGUCAGGUUGCAAACCUGAAGAAGUAGGUUGACGCCUACCGGGGCUU
RNAcentral lists this transfer RNA (64 nucleotides) under Lovettia sealii (Tasmanian whitebait). RNAcentral's name for it is "tRNA-Cys". The record is from RNAcentral. Lineage: Eukaryota; Metazoa; Chordata; Actinopteri; Galaxiiformes; Galaxiidae.